GACUGGUGACCCGGGUUCUCUUCUUUCAAGUUCCCCUAAGCGAAGCAGGGCGCCACCUACAGUCGAGUUCUAACUAGCACGUUGGUGAGAAGGCUGGUGAACCUUUCCUAAACAAGGCCGGAUUUUGGGCACAGCCAUCUCAUAUUUGUAAUCACUCCAGACCGAUCGGUCUGUUGGCAGGCAGCAACAGACGAGACCAUACCGAAAAUGCGCGUUGGAGGCGUGCAGAAGUUGGGAAACAGAACAGUACUAGCUCUGAUUGGACUUGUUCGCGCUCUAAUGGUUUGGCUGGAUUUUGAUUCCAGUAUCUCCUCCAGGUUUCAGCCAAGGAGAGCAGCAGUCAAUUUCAUUAGGAAGAGUAUCUGUGUGACCUUAAACAAGUCGCUCCGUCAUUCACUCUCCUUUCUCAUCUCCUUUAGAACUAUAGCUGUGAUAGUUUUUUUUCCCCCUAAAUUAAUGAGACAAAGUAGGUGAGAAACUGCUGGUGCUAAGAGCUCCUACCUAUUUUUAAAGGAGGGGAAACCUUCUGAAAAAUAAAACUUUAAAGCCAUUGAA
RNAcentral lists this long non-coding RNA (555 nucleotides) under Rattus norvegicus (Norway rat). Its description in RNAcentral is "long non-coding RNA NONRATT023399". The record is from RNAcentral. Lineage: Eukaryota; Metazoa; Chordata; Mammalia; Rodentia; Muridae.